GGAGCGGAUACAGGGGACUGCAGACGGCCUGGCCGGGGCAGGGACGAGGAUGGGGGUGCGGAGGGUAAACAUUCCCAGCCCCAGUGAGCGUCUCCCCACGGGGGUUCGGUGAGCAAGUCAAAUGGCUUUUGUUCCUUUUGUUUUUGCUCAUUCCAUAAAGGAUUUUACUUGACUCAUGAUUUCCCAGCUGGCUCCUUCUGUAGCUUAAGAAAGCAAGAGUGAAUAAUUGCUCUGGCUUUUUGCUUCUUGGGUUUUUUCCUUCCUUACAGGAAUGUGUAAACACCCUGAGGUUUUACAGAAGGGUUGCCAAACCUCGUGUGUUAGAGACUCCACAUGCUUUCGGGCAAUGGCUGGCAUCCUCGCCGGAGGAACUGGGCUGACCCUUUUGGCAGGUUACUCUCACCCAGCCGUCAAGGACCAUGGCCUGGGGUGCGCUGGAUCAUACCCCGCCCUCCACUCCCCCCACUGUAUGUGUUGAAGUUCUAGCCUCCCGGAUCUCAGAAUGCGACUGUGACUGGAGCCCCCGAGCCACUAGAGGGAGCAUGAUGGCUGCCAAGAGCCACGUGGCGCACCUGUCUCCCAAACAAGGAAAGGUUCGCACCUCCCCCAUGGCACUGGCAUUGGCAGAGACCCCCCUGUGCCACCCCACGUUGCCUGCGCUGCUCCAUCACAGCUCUGAAGACACUUCAUGAUGCUUUUGGUCGAUGCCUCUGUAUCCCGUAGACCCCAAGUUUCAAGCAGCAUUUAUUACCACAUUCCCCUUGUUCCUGGCCCAUAGCACGUAUAUAACAGGGGUUGAGGCUGAGUGGUCAGUACACCGUGACGGCUGACCCACACACAGGAGACCCAGCACUGCUCUGGCCGCCGGCUCUGCCUUCUCAUCACACGAGCAUCAGAGGAGCGGCAUGACACUGUCCCAGUGUUCCUCAAGAGGUCCUGUCUGACUGUCAGGGCAGGACUGACGGAAUGGAGUACUUGUGACACCAUCCCAGAUGACCCGGACAGGCUGGGCAGGCCAGGCCUGCCACUCACAGCGCUGUGGACAGCUGGGCUACCGGCCCAGGGUGGGCAGCGGGCACAGGCUUUUAGCUCUACUCUGCAUGGGGAACAGACGGCGUGGGGGGAGGGAGCAGAGACCAGGGGCUCCGGAACAGAGGGCCCGCCCUGUCUAUACCAGGGCAUCCUAAGACCGACCACUGGGCCAUGUUGAGCCUGAAAUAAUGAAGGGCAUGUGGAAACUCACGUGCAGACAUCACACCGGCACAUUCUAAGCUUCAUCCAAAGGCAAAGCAGUGGACAAAAGAAUCCAGUGGUUCCCCACACCUAUGUCACAUGUCAGUGUUAAAAACUAAAGAAUCUUCUUCUUCUUAACCACAUAAGAAGAAAAAAUGAAAUCAACUUAACUACUUCUCAAUUUUUUCCUGGCUCUCUCAACCAACUUGCCAAUCUGGACUGUAAAAUAAACAAAAACCAUGAGAAUAUGUAGAAAAGCCC
This is a long non-coding RNA of Bos indicus x Bos taurus (hybrid cattle), 1494 nucleotides long. Lineage: Eukaryota; Metazoa; Chordata; Mammalia; Artiodactyla; Bovidae. The record is from Ensembl.